CACAGACACAUAAAUGCCUAUGCACAAUGUGUACAAAUGCAGGUUUGUGGUGAUAUGUUUGAAGCAAAAAGAUGUGAUCAUGGGGCUGCUUUACUGUCAUCCUAAGGCACAGCCUGAGCCCUCAGAGUUGGCUUUAUGAUCUCUGGAACAGAAGGACUGGAAAAUUAACCCAUUUGAUUUCUGCAUAACUCUUCUGUCUGAAACACUCAUAUGUAGGUUAAUGCACAUACCCAUUAACUCUUCCACUGUCAACUGCUGUUAGUGUAUCUGUUUAACGCCCUGCUGGGAGGGAGAUGAAUGGGCUCCUCCAGAUGCCAUCUUGACGCUGCUUUUUUUUAGUUCAGCCCUGGGGAAUGCAAAUCCUAGAUGGCUCUCCUGGAGCUGUGGGUGGUUGUGCAAACCAUAUACUCUCUUAUCUAGUAUUUUGAACUUAAUGAUAUCUUACUUAUAUUGAGAAUAAUGUCUUUCCAAUAGUAGAUGAAUAUAACUGCUUUCUGUGUUGCAGGUGGGCAAAAUGAGCUACUAAAUGCUUCAUUAGUUUGGGUUGAAGAGACUGGCCACCUGCAAGGAUGUGAUCUGGCUUCUCACUCCUCUGGCUGCCCAUGAGUCCUGAGCCCAAACCAACAGGCCAUUGCUGGGACUAGGUGUGGGCAGACAGAAGAAGAGGAAGCUUCAUGGAAAAGAACCAUGGGACGAGUGAAGAGACAAAGAGGAGCAUUGAUUGGGCACAUGGAUAAUGGGCCUAAAUGGAGGGUGGAGGAUAUAUUUUGUCGUGGACAAGACUGUCUGGAGAAUACAGGUACAGCUUUUUUGGGGAUGCGUUUUGGAGAGGCUGCUCUUUCUUUACACCAAGGUUUAUCGUCAGCGAAUAUUAAAUAAACCACAACAUAUAGUGUGUGAUUUUUAUUGUUUGCCAAGGUAUCUUUUUCUCCACAGAAGACUGCCAGUAACUUGGUCUGCAGUUGUCUGUGCAUAUAUCUUCUGACUGCAUUUCUUUUGUAAUGAUGUGCUGUGUAUGCCAUGCAUGGGUC
This 1031-nucleotide long non-coding RNA is filed under the name Coturnix japonica (Japanese quail). RNAcentral's name for it is "lncRNA (ENSCJPG00005004377.1)". The record is from RNAcentral. Lineage: Eukaryota; Metazoa; Chordata; Aves; Galliformes; Phasianidae.